UACGGGGGGGGCAAGCGUUGUUCGGAAUUACUGGGCGUAAAGGGCUCGUAGGUGGCCAACUAAGUCAGACGUGAAAUCCCUCGGCUUAACCGGGGAACUGCGUCUGAUACUGGAUGGCUUGAGUUUGGGAGAGGAAUGCGGAAUUCCAGGUGUAGCGGUGAAAUGCGUAGAUAUCUGGAGGAACACCGGUGGCGAAGGCGGCAUUCUGGACUGUAACUGACACUGAGGAACGAAAGCCAGGGGAGCAAACGGG
RNAcentral lists this ribosomal RNA (253 nucleotides) under uncultured bacterium. Its description in RNAcentral is "partial 16S ribosomal RNA". It matches the Rfam family "Bacterial small subunit ribosomal RNA", at positions 524 to 776 of the family's 1533-position model. The record is from RNAcentral.